GAUGAACGCUGACAGAAUGCUUAACACAUGCAAGUCAUUGGCGAAGCUGCGCUUGCGCAGUCUAGCCAAGGCGGACGGGUGAGUAACGCGUAAGGAACUUGCCCUGCAGACAGGGAUAACAGACGGAAACGACUGAUAACACCUGGUAUUGUCAGGCUGGCGCAUGCCGGCCUGAUGAAAGGAGACACUGCAGGAGAGCCUUGCGUCCUAUUAGCUAGUUGGUGGGGUAACGGCCCACCAAGGCGAUGAUAGGUAGCCGGCCUGAGAGGGUGAACGGCCACAAGGAGACUGAGAUACGGCACUUACUCCUGCGGGAGGCAGGAGUGGGGAAUAUUGGACAAUGGGGGCAACCCUGAUCCAGCAAUUCUGUGUGCACGAAGAAGGUUUUCGGAUUGUAAAGUGCUUUCAGCAGGGAAGAAGAAAGUGACGGUACCUGCAGAAGAAGCGACGGCUAAAUACGUG
Molecule: ribosomal RNA, 462 nt
Filed under: uncultured bacterium
Lineage: Bacteria
Description: partial 16S ribosomal RNA
Rfam family: Bacterial small subunit ribosomal RNA
Source: RNAcentral